This 468-nucleotide ribosomal RNA is filed under the name uncultured bacterium. RNAcentral's name for it is "partial 16S ribosomal RNA". It matches the Rfam family "Bacterial small subunit ribosomal RNA", at positions 28 to 507 of the family's 1533-position model. The record is from RNAcentral.
GACGAACGCUGGCGGCGUGCUUAACACAUGCAAGUCGAACGGAAAGGCCCUGCGCUUGCGGGGUGCUCGAGUGGCGCGCGCGUGUGUGACACGCGAGUAACCUGCCCUUGACUUUGGGAUAACUUUAGGAAACUGGGGCGAUAACACGAUAGGAGCUCUUGCUGCACGGGGGGCGUUAGUAAGUUUCGGCGGUUUGGGAUAGACUAGCGGCUUAUCCGCUUGAUGGUGAGGUAGGGGCUUACAAGGGCUACGACGGGUAGCCGGCCUUGGAGCGUGAACGGCCACAUGGCGACUGCGAUACGGCGCAGACGCCUACGGGAGGCAGCAGGGGGGAAUAUGGCACAGUGGGCGGAAGCCAGAGGCAGCAGCGCCGCGUGCGGGAUGACGUCCUUCGAGGUGUAAACCGCUUUCUCCUGUGACGAAGCGUGAGUGACGGUAAUGGGUAAAGAAGCACCGGCUAACUACGUG